CGGGAUGUAGCGCAGCCCGGUAGCGCGUUUCGUUCGGGACGAAGAGGCCGCUGGUUCGAAUCCAGUCAUCCCGA
This 74-nucleotide transfer RNA is filed under the name Ilyomonas limi. It matches the Rfam family "tRNA". From Rfam's summary of the family: Transfer RNA (tRNA) molecules are approximately 80 nucleotides in length. Their secondary structure includes four short double-helical elements and three loops (D, anti-codon, and T loops). Lineage: Bacteria; Pseudomonadati; Bacteroidota; Chitinophagia; Chitinophagales; Chitinophagaceae. The record is from Rfam by way of RNAcentral. RNAcentral also lists the same sequence under 4 other names.